This 833-nucleotide ribosomal RNA is filed under the name Lactiplantibacillus plantarum. RNAcentral's name for it is "bacterial SSU rRNA". It matches the Rfam family "Bacterial small subunit ribosomal RNA", at positions 54 to 851 of the family's 1533-position model. The record is from RNAcentral. Lineage: Bacteria; Bacillati; Bacillota; Bacilli; Lactobacillales; Lactobacillaceae.
CAUGCAGUCGAACGAACUCUGGUAUUGAUUGGUGCUUGCAUCAUGAUUUACAUUUGAGUGAGUGGCGAACUGGUGAGUAACACGUGGGAAACCUGCCCAGAAGCGGGGGAUAACACCUGGAAACAGAUGCUAAUACCGCAUAACAACUUGGACCGCAUGGUCCGAGUUUGAAAGAUGCCUUCGGCUAUCACUUUUGGAUGGUCCCGCGGCGUAUUAGCUAGAUGGUGGGGUAACGGCUCACCAUGGCAAUGAUACGUAGCCGACCUGAGAGGGUAAUCGGCCACAUUGGGACUGAGACACGGCCCAAACUCCUACGGGAGGCAGCAGUAGGGAAUCUUCCACAAUGGACGAAAGUCUGAUGGAGCAACGCCGCGUGAGUGAAGAAGGGUUUCGGCUCGUAAAACUCUGUUGUUAAAGAAGAACAUAUCUGAGAGUAACUGUUCAGGUAUUGACGGUAUUUAACCAGAAAGCCACGGCUAACUACGUGCCAGCAGCCGCGGUAAUACGUAGGUGGCAAGCGUUGUCCGGAUUUAUUGGGCGUAAAGCGAGCGCAGGCGGUUUUUUAAGUCUGAUGUGAAAGCCUUCGGCUCAACCGAAGAAGUGCAUCGGAAACUGGGAAACUUGAGUGCAGAAGAGGACAGUGGAACUCCAUGUGUAGCGGUGAAAUGCGUAGAUAUAUGGGAAGAACACCAGUGGCGAAGGCGGCUGUCUGGUCUGUAACUGACGCUGAGGCUCGAAAGUAUGGGUAGCAAACAGGAUUAGAUACCCUGGUAGUCCAUACCGUAAACGAUGAAUGCUAAGUGUUGGAGGGUUUCCGCCCUUCAGUGCUGCAG